GGGUACUCGAGCGGCGAACGGGUGAGUAACACGUGAGUAACCUGCCCCUGACUCUGGGAUAAGCCUGGGAAACUGGGUCUAAUACCGGAUACGACCAUUUCUCGCAUGGGAUGGUGGUGGAAAGUUUUUUCGGUUGGGGAUGGGCUCGCGGCCUAUCAGCUUGUUGGUGGGGUGAUGGCCUACCAAGGCGACGACGGGUAGCCGGCCUGAGAGGGCGACCGGCCACACUGGGACUGAGACACGGCCCAGACUCCUACGGGAGGCAGCAGUGGGGAAUAUUGCGCAAUGGGCGGAAGCCUGACGCAGCGACGCCGCGUGGGGGAUGACGGCCUUCGGGUUGUAAACCUCUUUCAGCAGGGACGAAGUUGACGUGUACCUGUAGAAGAAGCGCCGGCUAACUACGUGCCAGCAGCCGCGGUAAUACGUAGGGCGCAAGCGUUGUCCGGAAUUAUUGGGCGUAAAGAGCUCGUAGGUGGCUUGUCGCGUCUGCCGUGAAAGCCCGUGGCUUAACUACGGGUCUGCGGUGGAUACGGGCAGGCUAGAGGCUGGUAGGGGCAAGCGGAAUUCCUGGUGUAGCGGUGAAAUGCGCAGAUAUCAGGAGGAACACCGGUGGCGAAGGCGGCUUGCUGGGCCAG
This 635-nucleotide ribosomal RNA is filed under the name Microbispora sp. SBP6R5. RNAcentral describes it as "bacterial SSU rRNA". It matches the Rfam family "Bacterial small subunit ribosomal RNA", at positions 85 to 737 of the family's 1533-position model. The record is from RNAcentral. Lineage: Bacteria; Bacillati; Actinomycetota; Actinomycetes; Streptosporangiales; Streptosporangiaceae.